This 314-nucleotide long non-coding RNA is filed under the name Lathyrus oleraceus (garden pea). RNAcentral's name for it is "Pisum sativum (pea) long non-coding RNA (PSAT_LNC011986)". Lineage: Eukaryota; Viridiplantae; Streptophyta; Magnoliopsida; Fabales; Fabaceae. The record is from RNAcentral.
CUUCACAGAAAGGCUGUUGAUAGUACCCUUCAAGGUGUCACCUACUUUCCUUCUUUUAUGUUGUUCUUCCUGAAUCUCUUUGGCGGUCUUGGCUGCUCGGUCCCUUAUCUGGUUGAGCUUAAACUUUAGGUUCUCUUUCUCCAAGGUGAGCUUACCGAGGUUAGAUCGGAGAUCAGCAUUCUCCUUCUCCAAUGCUUUGAUAAUCCCCUUGAGUUUGUCAACCUCUGAAAUAGGGGAAACAACAGGCUCAACAGGCUUGAUGAUCAUGGAAGGUUCAGGCAGAAAUGGCAAUAAAAACUCUUUGACUCUCUCCU